This 460-nucleotide ribosomal RNA is filed under the name uncultured bacterium. RNAcentral's name for it is "partial 16S ribosomal RNA". It matches the Rfam family "Bacterial small subunit ribosomal RNA", at positions 338 to 795 of the family's 1533-position model. The record is from RNAcentral.
CCUACGGGAGGCAGCAGUGAGGAAUAUUGGUCAAUGGACGAGAGUCUGAACCAGCCAAGUAGCGUGAAGGAUGACUGCCCUAUGGGUUGUAAACUUCUUUUAUAUGGGAGUAAAAUGUUCCACGUGUGGGAUUUUGUAUGUACCAUAUGACUAAGGAUCGGCUAACUCCGUGCCAGCAGCCGCGGUAAUACGGAGGAUCCGAGCGUUAUCCGGAUUUAUUGGGUUUAAAGGGAGCGUAGGUGGAUUGUUAAGUCAGUUGUGAAAGUUUGCGGCUCAACCGUAAAAUUGCAGUUGAAACUGGCAGUCUUGAGUACAGGAGAGGUGGGUGGAAUUCGUGGUGUAGCGGUGAAAUGCUUAGAUAUCACGAAGAACUCCGAUUGCGAAGGCAGUUCACUGGACUGCAACUGACACUGAGGCUCGAAAGUGUGGGUAUCAAACAGGAUUAGAUACCCCUGUAGUC